CGGGGGGCUCCUACGGGAGGCAGCAGCAACGAAUCUUCCGCAAUGGGCGCAAGCCUGACGGAGCAAUGCCGCGUGUGGGAUGAAGUGCCUCCGGCAUGUAAACCACUGUCAGAAGAUAGAAACACUGAUCAUCUCAAAGGAAGGGCGACU
Molecule: ribosomal RNA, 150 nt
Filed under: uncultured Planctomycetota bacterium
Lineage: Bacteria; Pseudomonadati; Planctomycetota
Description: uncultured planctomycete partial 16S ribosomal RNA
Rfam family: Bacterial small subunit ribosomal RNA
Source: RNAcentral